This 8086-nucleotide long non-coding RNA is filed under the name Lactuca sativa (garden lettuce). RNAcentral's name for it is "long non-coding RNA (LSAT_LNC002944)". The record is from RNAcentral. Lineage: Eukaryota; Viridiplantae; Streptophyta; Magnoliopsida; Asterales; Asteraceae.
CAUGCACUCACAUACUUCCAAGCUUAGCCACUCUUUUUCUCCCUCUCUCUCUUGCUCUUGGCCGAGUUCAAGCACACACACACACAUUUCACUCACUUUUCUCUCAAGAAAACUCUCCCAUACCUCCUCCAUAUUUUCGAGAUCUAAGAAGGAUUCAAGGGGAUUCUUACACAAAUUCUUCAUCUAAGGUAAGAUAAAUUUUGGAUCUAUGAUAUAGGUUCUUUGUUUUAUCAAAAUCUCCUUCUAUACCAUGUAAAAAUCAGGAUCACUCUCUUAGAGACCCUCUAAGUUCGAGAUCUUCCAAGGAGGGGUACUAAGGCCGAAUUUGCCUCUCAUUUUCUUCCAAAAACCGAAACCACACCCAAAGGUGAGCUUCAUACCCCCUAUUUUUCUGUUUUUAUAAGUUUUUGUGGGGGAGAACACAAGCAAAUGUGUAGAUCUAUGAGUUCGUAUGUCUUGUGUGAUUUUAUGCAUGUAUGUAUGGUUUUUAUGUGUUAUGUGAUGAUUAUGUUAGCUAAAAAUACCUAAAAACCGAGAUAUACAACAUUAAGAAUGAUAUAAACAAAGCUUAUACCAUUUUACACUAAUCAAGUCAAUAAAAACGAUUUAUUUAGUUAGGAUGAACAUUUUUGGACACAAAACCCAUUUUUGGGCUCAAAAUGUCAAAAAUACAAAACUAAGGGGCCCAAAACGACAAAACAUAAUUUUUGGAGCUUGAAACAAGUCCAAACAGUUUUUAAGAUAACUUUUCUGAAUAAAAAACACUUUGGAGGGGCUUAAAAUGUGAAUUUUAAACCUAAUGGGCUAAAAAUGGGCUUUUCGGCCCAAUAAGCCCCAAAUUGCGAAAAUCCGGAAAUAGAGGGGCUGAAACUGCACAUUUAUGAAAAACAGGGGAUUACUAUUGUAAUAAAACUAUUUCAAGGGUCAAAAUGUUUUCAAAUUAAAAAGGGACUAAAAAUGCAAAAAUUUUCCAUUUUGGGCCAAAAUUGUAAAAGUUGUGAAAAUGGGGGUUUCAACCGAGAAAUUUCAUUUUUGAGGGACUUAAGCUGUUUAUCAAGUAAAUUUGGGCUGAAAAUGUAUUUUCAACAAGUUUUGAUACUAAAGUGUCAAGAAAAAUGGUUUAAGGACUAAAAUGGAAAUUCUUUUAUAUAAAGAGUUAAAAGUAUAAAUUUUUAUCCAAGAAGGGGCAUCAAAAAGAAAAAAUCUAAUGUUUAAAACAAUAAAUCCCUUAAGAUAAAAAUUUGAGUACCACGGCUACCGGCAAAACGUAAUAGCAAAUACACCUUCAACACCCAAAAAUCGUUACCAAACGAAUUGAUUCGGUCUCGAAUCAAUAACAAAUCAAAAAUCGAUAAACAAUGAUACUUCAAUACACACGCAAAAAUUUACGAGAAGUCAAUACACCAUCUUUGGGCCUGAAAGUUUCAAAUCGUGCUUGUUGGGCCUAGCUAGCCCAAUGACAUGAUCUUUAGGCCCGAAGAAAACGCGCUUACAUGUUGUUGGGCCUUAUAUGACCUAAUUCCGUGUAAAAGGACUUUCAAUAGCUUUUUGUGCUGUUGGGCCCCAAGGGUCCUUUGGUAUUGCUAGCAAAGUCGAGAAGUCAAAUGCGAGUCGGGCCAAGGGCCUUGCGCAUUCACGAUAGCCUUGAACGACUUACAAAAAUAAUGGGGGCUUCACACCCUCUUUUCUCCUCGGCCGUGGGGUUAUGAGAAGUCAGGGUGGUUGGAUUAAGUGAGAAGUGUGGACGACGCCUAAGGGAUCGUUUGUAAAGUUGUAAACUAGUAAUUUUCAUUAAUGCGUGCUGAUAAUGACUCACAAUCCAUAAUUAAUCCAAUGUCACCUGGAACUAUAGAAUACAACGUCGUAUCAGAAUAAUAAUAACUAAGCCACGUAAUUUGAUGUAUUAGGAAAACUUCGGGUUUUCCUAGGGAAUUCAACACUUUCACCUAUGUGAUGCAUACAAAGUCUAACAAUUAUUCACAUUUACAGAAAUCAACAAGCAUACUUACGGAUCUUCACACUUUUUCUUACUUACAAUAAUCUUUUCAGAAAAUAUCGGUUUUUCUGAUGGUUUUGAAAAUAAUACAAAUCAUUACUUUUCAAACAUUACUUAUGAACUCACCAACAUUUCAUAUAUUGACGUUUUUCCAAAAUACUUGUAUUCUCAGGUAACAGGUAAAUCGAAGAAAAUGUAUCCAGUGAUAUCAUGAUGUUUUGUUUAAUUAAUAUUGAACGGUUUAUGUUUUGGAAUUGUAAUAUGUAAAAACAAUGUAAUGAACGUAAACACUGAUGAUUGUAAUAUUUCAAUGCAUGGUGACGAAUGAUGUUAUGAUUCAUGUAUAUUCAUUGUGAUGGUAUUCAAUUGAGUCACAAUAGCCCUCGGACGUUUCUACCGUCUGGUUCGGGGGUGUGACAGGUUGGUAUCAGAGCUCUGUUUAUAGUGAACUAGCAUAUCUAACCACACAUUGAUAUGCAACUAUAAACCAAAAAAGGGACUAACACAACUCUGAACAAAACAAGUAAAACACAACAAUAAAACACCCUUGCUUGCAUUAGGAAUAAGAACAUAACGCCGAACCAAACAAGAUGAUGCUAGUAUCCCGGUUAAUCCAGGACUGUUCUUAGUGGUAUCAAGGAGUGGAUAUAGCCUGAUCAACUACAUUCUCUCCAAGGUAUAACUAACACACGUUCUGAGGAGAUCGUGAUAGCUAGGGAACCUAAAAAUAUACCCCUUUAGCACCAAAAAGAGAACACCUGCUUAGUCUGUACAACAGUUGUAGCACCCUAGGAAUAAUGCUAGCAUAUUUACACACUCUUGCAGACAGCAUGGCUGGUUUCAAUCACCCCGGAGAUCCUUACUUCCCUAACCAGGGAAAUAACUGAUGUUUAGACGAGGAGCCUGAGGAAGACCCCGAAGAGGAAUCUGACGGGGAACCGGAGGCAGGGGUCGAGGGCGAGCCUGCCGAACCAGAAGAGGAACAGGAUGAGGAAGAAGAUGAAGGAAGCUUCGAGGAGGAACCCGAUGACAGUGAAGGGGGUGAUUCGAAUGCGGAGUCCGAGUUCAUCAACCCCCCUUACCCGAUUAGGGUGCCUGCUUACCAGGUGGGCCCCACUGGUCCUACACCUCCCUGGGGUAUUGAUCUUUGGAGAUGGAGCAGACAGCAGGGACAGCGACCCCCGUACGACAUGUCACGCGAGUUCUUUGACCUGAGGGACGGAGGAUCGGCUGAUUGAGCCCUUCCAGUCAUGGUGAGACGAUUACGGAACACUGGCGACCUUACUCAGAGCACUGCCGACCAGGUACGCCAGUUGUGGACUACGGUCAAGCGUGCAGAACAGGAGACACGUGACGUCCUUCGAGAGUUCCAUAUGAGGUAGGUGAGGUGGGAGUCUCGACUCCAGGAUGCAGAACGACAGGUGGCUCGUCUUCAGGGAGCAUCCACAUCCUCAGCACCACCCCCGGGCACAACUCAUCGCGGUUAGGAAUAAACUUAAUUCUUGUGUCCAUUAGGAGUUUCGAUGUGAUUAUUGGCAUGGACUGGUUAAGCCUCUACCAUGCUGAAAUUAUGUGCCACGAGAAGGCCGUUCGUCUUCGCCUUCCCAAUCACGAAACCCUAGUUAUUUACGGAGACAUACCGAGCACGACCCUUCGUCUUAUCUUGUGCGUCCAGGCACAGAAACAUCUACGAAAGAAAGAUUUGACAUUUCUGGCUCACAUAGUGGAUAAAACCCAGGGAGAGACUAACAUUCAAGACAUUCCAGUAGCACGUGAAUUCCCAGACGUAUUUCCUGAAGAUCUUCCUGGAGUACCCCCAGAGAGACAAGUUGAGUUCCAAAUUGACCUCGUUCCAGGAGCAACCCCUCUCGCUAAAUCACCCUACCGGCUAGCUCCUGCUGAAAUGCAGGAAUUGUCGAGUCAACUCAGCGAACUCCUGGGCAAGGGAUUCAUCCGACCCAGCUACUCGCCAUGGGGAGCUCCGGUCCUCUUUGUCAAAAAGAAGGACGGAUCUUUUAGGAUGUGNNNNNNNNNNNNNNNNNNNNNNNNNNNNNNNNNNNNNNNNNNNNNNNNNNNNNNNNNNNNNNNNNNNNNNNNNNNNNNNNNNNNNNNNNNNNNNNNNNNNNNNAUCUUUUAGGAUGUGCAUCGAUUACAGAGAGUUAAAAAAACUCACCGUCAAAAAUCGCUAUCCACUCCCACGAAUCGAUGAUCUAUUUGACCAGCUCCAAGGGGCUAGUUACUUUUCUAAAAUAGAUCUAUGGUCCGGGUACCAUCAGCUUAAGGUCCGAGAAGAAGAUAUUCCCAAAACAGCUUUCCGAACUCGUUACGGAAAUUAUGAAUUUGUUGUAAUGCCCUUCGGUCUAAGAAAUGCCCCUGCCGCAUUUAUGGAUCUGAUGAACCGAAUCUGACGACCAUUCCUUGACAACUUUGUCAUCGUCUUCAUUGACGACAUUCUCGUCUAUUCCCGAAGCGAGGAAGAGCAUGGCCAACAUCUCCGACAAAUCUUAGAAACUCUGCGAGCGGAAAAGCUAUACGCAAAACUCUCCAAGUGUGAGUUCUGGCUCCGUAGUGUGAACUUCCUAGGUCAUGUUGUUAGCCAAGAUGGAAUUCAUGUGGAUCCCUCUAAGGUCAAAGCCGUCGAAGGAUGGGCAGUCCCGACAACACCCACAAAAAUUCGCCAAUUCUUAGGCCUAGCAAGCUACUAUAGGAGGUUCAUUCAAAACUUCUCUAAGAUCGCCAAACCACUUACCUCACUUACACAAAAGGGCGUACCAUUCAAAUGGACGGACAAACAAGAAGUUGCAUUCCGAACCCUGAAGCAAGCCCUCUGUAGUGCUCCGGUACUAUCUCUAUCGGAGGGAACGGAAGAUUUCGUGGUCUACUGUGAUGCGUCAAAUCAGGGCUUAGGUUGUGUUCUCAUGCAGCGUGGAAGGGUGAUAGCUUACGCAUCCCGCCAACUAAAGACACACGAAGUGAAUUAUACAACCCAUGAUAUGGAAUUAGGAGCGAUGGUCUUUGCUCUAAAGAUUUGGAGACAUUACCUUUGGUACGAAGUGCACCAUCUUCACGGACCACAAAAGUCUCCAACAUAUCUUGAAUCAGAAAGAGCUGAAUAUGAGGCAACGAAGAUGGGUUGAAUUAUUAAACGAUUACGAGUGUGAAAUCAAGUACCACCCGGGCAAGGCCAACGUGGUAGCUGAUGCAUUGAGUCGGAAGGAGUACUCUAAUCGUCGUGCAAAAACUCUCUUAAUAACCAUCCAAUCUCACCUAACCACUCAGAUUGGGGAAGCCCAGUCAGAGGCCAUGAAGACGGAAAACAGAGCAAGAGAGGCAUUACGCGGAAUGGAGAAGAAUCUAGAGGUAAAAGAGGAUGGGGUAUACUAUUUCAUGAACCGUAUUUGGGUCCCUAAACUCGGAGGAUUUAGGGAGCUAGUCAUGAAUGAAGCUCACAAAACGCGAUACUCCAUCCAUCCCGGUUCGGACAAGAUGUACUUGGAUAUUAAACGACAAUAUUGGUGGCCUAACAUGAAGGUAGAAAUUGCCACCUACGUCAGCAAAUGCCUUACUUGUGCCAAAGUAAAGGUGGAGUACCAGAAGCCCUCGGGGUUAUUACAGCAACCGGUAAUUCCCGAGUGGAAAUGGGAAGGGAUUUCUAUGGAUUUUGUGACCAAACUACCUAAGACGCCAGAUGGACUAGACACCAUAUGGGUAAUAGUCGACCGACUGACGAAAUCUGCUCAUUUCCUGCCAAUAAAAGAAUCCUACAAGAUGGAAAGACUGACACGAUUAUACAUUCGAGAAAUCGUGAGACUCCAUGGAGUACCAGUGUCUAUUAUCUCAGAUAGAGACAGUAGAUUCACUUCACGUUUUUGGCAAUCACUUCAGAAAGCACUUGGAACCCAUCUCGACAUGAGCACCGCUUAUCACCCACAAACGGACGGUCAAAGCGAACGAACCAUCCAGACGCUCGAAGACAUGCUUCGCGCAUGUGUGAUAGACUUUGGGAAGUCUUGGGAUACCCACUUACCCUUAGUCGAAUUCUCGUAUAACAACAGUUACCAUUCGAGCAUCAAGGUCGCUCCUUUCGAAGCACUAUACGGGCGUAAGUGUAGAUCACCGUUAUGUUGGGCUGAAGUGGGUGACACCCAGCUAGAAAAAGCACUCGCAUCGGACAAGGUGCUAAUAGGACUGGAGAUCAUUCGUGAAACCACGGAAAAGAUAGUUCAAAUCAGAGCUCGAUUACAAGCAUCGCGUGACCGACAAAAGAGCUACGCCGAUAAACGGCGAAAGCCCUUAGAGUUUCAGGUCGGGGAUCGAGUGUUGUUAAAAGUUUCACCUUGGAAAGGAGUCAUUCAUUUCGGAAAACGGGGAAAACUGAACCCACGAUACAUUGGACCUUUCAAGAUCGUUGUCCGAAUAGGUCCAGUGGCGUACAAACUGCAACUACCCGCUGAGCUAAACAAUGUACACCCCGUGUUCCAUGUCUCUAAUCUAAAGAAGUGUCUAUCAGAUGAAACACUCGUCAUUCCCCUUGACAAGAUUGAAAUCAACUAAAAUCUCCUGUUCGUUGAAGAACCGGUCGAAAUUAUGGACAGGGAGGUGAAGCGUACUAAGCAAAGUCGCAUCCCGAUCGUGAAAGUACGGUGGAACGCGAAGCGUGGGCCAGAAUUCACGUGGGAACGCGAAGACCAAAUGAAGCAAAAGUACCCUCACCUAUUCUAGCAUUCUCAAAUCUAGCUUUCAAAAGAAUUUCGGGACGAAAUUCCCUCUAACGGGAGGAUGAUGUCACAAUCAGGAAUUUUGUGCCUUGUAACUACAUCACAUAAGUCAAAUUAUGAAUCAAAAACAUAAGAGCAUGUAUGAUGCUUACUCUAUGAAAACAAAAUUUCAAUCAAACACCCCAUGUAAACAAUUCAAAUAGUCGUUAAACAAUUGGAAACCCUAGGAGUUCUUGUUUACGUCCAUUUUUGGACUAGGACUUCUUUAUUGGGCCCAAAGGACCUAUAAGCUUCCAAUUUGGCUAUCUUGGGCUUAGAACUCUUAAAUGGGCUCUAAUUGGAACCAUUUCCAUUUAAUUCAAUAUUUUGGUCCAUAUUGGGCCUAGAAUGAAAUAGAUUAAUUAUAUGAACCAUUUUGGACCAUAAUUAACCUAAUCUAGCCUAAUAAAGCAUAAAAAUCACAUUUAUAUUUUUUUUGGGCCAAAAAUCAUCCAACCUAACUAUAACAUGGGCUUAAGGGCAAAAAGCCCAAAAACCUCCUCUCACCCUCCCCAUUCUCGGCCCAAGCCCAAGAGAAAGAGGAGUUGACUUUGUGAGUGACACCUCACAAUUGUUCAUGGGACAUCUAUGCAUUAAAACUCAAACAUCCAUGCACUCACAUACUUCCAAGCUUAGCCACUCUUUUUCUCCCUCUCUCUCUUGCUCUUGGCCGAGUUCAAGCACACACACACACAUUUCACUCACUUUUCUCUCAAGAAAACUCUCACAUACCUCCUCCAUAUUUUCGAGAUCUAAGAAGGAUUCAAGGGGAUUCUUACACAAAUUCUUCAUCUAAGGUAAGAUAAAGUUUGGAUCUAUGAUAUAGGUUCUUUGUUUUAUCAAAAUCUCCUUCUAAUCCAUGUAAAAAUCAUGAUCACUCUCUUAGAGACCCUCUAAGUUCGAGAUCUUCCAAGGAGGGGUACUAAGGCCGAAUUUUCCUCUCAUUUUCUUCCAAAAACUGAAACCACACCCAAAGGUGAGCUUCAUACCCCCUAUUUUUCUGUUUUUAUAAGUUUUUGUGGGGGAGAAUACAAGUAAAUGUGUAGAUCUAUGAGUUCGUAUGUCUUGUGUGAUUUUAUGCAUGUAUGUAUGGUUUUUAUGUGUUAUGUGAUGAUUAUGUUAGCUAAAAAUACCUAAAAACCGAGGUAUACAACAUGAAGAAUGAAAUAAGCAUAGAUUAUACCAUUCUACACUAAUCAAGUCAAUAAAAAUGAUUUAUUUAGUUAGGAUGAACAUUUUUGGACACAAAACCCAUUUUUGGGCUCAAAAUGUCAAAAAUACAAAACUAAGGGGCCCAAAACGACAAAACAUAAUUUCUGGAGGUUGAAACAAG